This 1467-nucleotide long non-coding RNA is filed under the name Glycine max (soybean). RNAcentral describes it as "long non-coding RNA (GMAX_LNC003841)". Lineage: Eukaryota; Viridiplantae; Streptophyta; Magnoliopsida; Fabales; Fabaceae. The record is from RNAcentral.
AUGGUUGUGUGGCGGUUGAGAUUAAGGAGAUCAAAAAAGAAAGUUCAUUGUGGAGUUGCAAUUUUGACAGAUGUUGGAGUGUGGUUCACAAUGAUGGUUGGACAAAUUUGUAUUGGUAAUUUUUUGCGCCUUAAAAGCUUAAGUUUUGAUCUAUUUGUUUGUCCUAGUUUUUGAUUUCUUCUAUUUAUAUGUUAAUUUUUUCUCACCCAAAUCUUGAGAACACUAUCUUAUGUGAGAAAAAAAACAAUUAAUAACAACUAUCGGAUCAAGAUUAAAAAUAAUAAAUGAAUGGGAUUAAAAUAUUUAAAAUUUUUAAUUAAAAUUUAAUAUAUUAUCAAAUUUCUAAAAAAUUAACCAAACAAACACAACUAAAAAGAUCUCAAUUAUCACUUCCUAAAAUAUUUCAAUCAUCAUCAUAAUUGUUGUUAUCAUCACUAUGAUAACCACUGUCAUCACCAUCAUUAUUAGCUUAGCUGCCACCACCAUUUUAGUUAACCAUCAUAGUCUUCCUUGUCGUCUCUAUCACCGUCACCAUGAUUAUUGUUGUAGCCACUAUCAUGAUUUUUAUCACCAUCAUCAUCAACUGUCACUAUUGUCAUCAUUAUGAUUGUCGUUAUCGUUACUGUUACUGUUAUCACCACCAUCGGCUUUGGGCGUUGGAUUUUAAGUAAGUUGAUUCUGAAUAAUAACUCAGUAACUUUCACUAUCUUUAUAACUAACAAAAAGCCACAAAAAAGUAUAUUAUUUUCUUUUGUUGUGUUUGCUAUUUUUAUUGUGAACCAUUUCUGUUAAUAACUGUGAUUUACUCCUCCUGAGUAAAAGUGAGAUCUAAGAGACGCCUCAAAGAAAAUUUGAAGGAAUUAUUUUAAAACAUUAAUUUGAGCGAUUGGCAGAUAAAAGGAACAAUACUUCCAAAAAAAAAAAAACUAAAGCUAAACACAUCUUCAAAUUUACUCAAUAAAUUAAUUGAGAAAUCAACUCAUAUCCUUCGGGCGUCCUUCUUAAUGAAACCAUGAAAUAGUUGUUGCUCCUGAACUGAAAGCCAACUUUAAAUUAGUGAAACUAAGAAAAAAAGACAGAAUUCAAGAUUUAAGAACACUUACAAAAUAAAUCACCAACAAGGUCCACGUUUUUGUGAAUUUUGAGUUUGUUUCUUAUGGACUGUAACAACCUUUAUCGGUCAAUUUUUUCUUUUUGUAAAGGCAUCCGUUGACCAUGUGCCACUAACAAAAGUAAAUUGGAUUUGGAUUUGGAUUUGCAGGCUCAACGUGGAAGCACAAGUUUGAUAACACAAUGGGUGUACUUCAGUUUCAAACGAAGUUGGUGGCUGCAGCACUAAUAACAUUCCCUCAAGUGGCACUAGAAGCUCCUGCAAUACUUCGUUCCUAAGGUAAACUUGGGUUGUCAAAAAUUUCUUUUCUUUGGCUUCUCAAAAGAAGAGUUAAUUAUUAGUUGAUAUAAUUGGGG